CCUGACAAACCCAAAAGUUCGAAUGGAGAUAUUCAUCGUCAGCGAUCCCGGCGAUGUGCGGUUCGCGAUGCCCGGGACUUCGGUCCCGCGGCACGCGUCCGUGUCAUUUUUUGCCGGGUGUCGUCGUCGUGCACUUCUCCCCUAUUAGGACGUCGCGACCCGUUGGGUGUCGGUCUACGACUCGGGUGGGUGCCCGUCAUGUGUUACGCUUCACGGCGUCAUGUGGCAGACCCCCGGUUGUCCGACCAGUUGCCCGGCGGUACUCGCACGGUAUUGAGUCGCAAAUUUGAACUGCGUCCGGCCCGCCGCAAGCGAGGCCAGUGUUUCCCGGAUGUACGGACUUAGCGCCGUCACCGGGCCUGGCCAGCUGUUGGCCGGCGGUGUCCUGGGACUGGCUCUACACAAAUACCGGUCGGCGACGCUACUGCUUUGG
This 433-nucleotide ribosomal RNA is filed under the name Lathrostizus sp. RNAcentral describes it as "eukaryotic LSU rRNA". Lineage: Eukaryota; Metazoa; Arthropoda; Insecta; Hymenoptera; Ichneumonidae. The record is from RNAcentral.